GUUUCCUUGGGCAAGCACAUAUGCUAAAAUUAGAAUGAUACAAAGGAGAUUAGCAUGGCUCCUGCCCAAGGAUGGCACACAAAUUAUGACUCAUUCCUUUUUCUU
This 105-nucleotide small nuclear RNA is filed under the name Procavia capensis (Cape rock hyrax). The record is from RNAcentral. Lineage: Eukaryota; Metazoa; Chordata; Mammalia; Hyracoidea; Procaviidae.